This 253-nucleotide ribosomal RNA is filed under the name uncultured bacterium. Its description in RNAcentral is "partial 16S ribosomal RNA". It matches the Rfam family "Bacterial small subunit ribosomal RNA", at positions 524 to 776 of the family's 1533-position model. The record is from RNAcentral.
UACGGGGGGGGCAAGCGUUGUUCGGAAUUACUGGGCGUAAAGGGCUCGUAGGUGGCCAACUAAGUCAGACGUGAAAUCCCUCGGCUUAACCGGGGAACUGCGUCUGAUACUGGAUGGCUUGAGUUUGGGAGAGGGACGCGGAAUUCCAGGUGUAGCGGUGAAAUGCGUAGAUAUCUGGAGGAACACCGGUGGCGAAGGCGGCGUCCUGGACCAACACUGACGCUGAGGUGCGAAAGCGUGGGGAGCAAACAGG